RNA transcript from Sinocyclocheilus anshuiensis, 2266 nucleotides. It is a transcript of the gene named CUGBP Elav-like family member 3, with no coding region annotated. Lineage: Eukaryota; Metazoa; Chordata; Actinopteri; Cypriniformes; Cyprinidae. The annotation marks the transcript as partial. The transcript has 14 exons. The record is from RefSeq and is a predicted model, not a curated record.
UUCAUAGCUUACGGUGAUCAAGGACAAGUACACGGGAAUGCACAAAGGAUGUGCGUUCUUGACGUACUGUGCGAAGGAGUCAGCCUUGAAGGCCCAGAAUGCACUACACGAGCAGAAGACAUUGCCGGGGAUGAACCGCCCCAUUCAAGUGAAGCCAGCGGACAGUGAGGGCAGAGGAGACAGGAAGCUGUUUGUCGGGAUGUUGGGGAAACAGCUGUCAGACACCGAUGUCAGAAAAAUGUUUGAGCCGUUCGGGAGUAUAGAGGAGUGCACAGUACUCCGAGGGCCUGACGGAGCCAGCAAAGGUUGUGCAUUUGUAAAAUACCAGAGUAAUGCAGAAGCGCAGGCGGCCAUUAGCACUCUCCACGGCAGCCGCACUCUCCCGGGUGCAUCUUCUAGUCUGGUGGUGAAGUUUGCAGACACAGAGAAGGAGAGAGGAAUCAGGCGUAUGCAGCAGGUGGCCUCCCAGCUGGGUGUCAUUAGUCCCAUGAGCCUACACCUGGGCGCCUACAACGCCUACACACAGGCACUCGUCCAACAGCAGGCCUUGGUGGCUCAGUCCGCAUAUCUGUCUCCCGUUGCGACGGUUGCUGCAGUGCAGAUGCAGCAGUUGGCUGCUCUCAAUCCCAGCAGCAUCAUAGCCACACCCAUCGCCUCAAUCACACCCUCCUCAGGUACGAACACUCCUCCAACCAUUGCUGCUACAUCUGUGCCUGCUCUGCCUCCGCAAAUCGCAGUCAGCAGUUACCCUCCAGUCCCUGCACUAACCAAUGGCCAUUCUGCCUCUGAAACCCUCUACACCAAUGGUGUCCAUCCGUAUCAGGCUCAGAGUCCUGUAUUGGAUCCUCUCCAGCAGGCGUAUACAGGCAUGCAACACUACACGGCUACGUAUCCUGCUGCUUAUGGAUUGGUCGGUCAACCAUUUCCACAUCAGCACACUUUGGUCGCCCAACAGCCACAGCAGCUGCAGCAGCUGCAACAACGAGAAGGCCCAGAAGGCUGCAAUAUCUUUAUUUAUCAUCUUCCUCAGGAGUUCACUGACUCUGAGAUGCUGCAGAUGUUUCUGCCCUUCGGUAACGUCAUCUCAGCCAAGGUGUUCGUUGACCGCGCCACCAACCAGAGCAAAUGCUUUGGUUUCGUAAGCUUCGACAACCCGGCGAGCGCUCAGGCUGCCAUCCAGGCCAUGAACGGCUUUCAGAUCGGCAUGAAGAGGCUUAAAGUUCAGCUGAAGAGGCCUAAAGAUGCCAACCGCCCAUACUGAGCCGAACAGGCUGCCCCGUCCAAUCAUAACUCGUGCGGAGACCACGUCGGUAUGGCUACGGUGGCCUAGCAUCCAAUAAAGCUCCCCCUUCCUCCCACAGCGUUGGUUUGGAAGAAAGGAGAGGACUAUCGGAGUCAAUUACAAGUCACUUUUCCUCCACUGCAAAUUACGGGACCAACAACUUUCACAAAACUACAGUAUAAAACCUACCGAGAUUAUUUAAACAAACAUAUACAUUUAAUAACAAAGACUGACUUGUCGCACAAAGUGCAGGUUAAAUAGAAUGAUUUGCUACCUUAACAGUAUACGAUAUAGGGCCAAUCAGCAACGCAACACCACUCGCUCUUCUGCUUCACACGCUGUUGUGCCGUGUGCUUGUGGGUCAUGACCUUUCUGCCUUCGGCCCACACAUCUAUGCCCUGCACACACACACACACACACACACACACAAAUGGGACCAAUGCAAAUAUGUCAGUACUACACUAGUUUCACUUCUGGGUUCAAAGGAACUAUGAACUAUUAAAGUCUUUCUGCAGCAAUCUAAAAUAUGUAUAUAGAAAUUUGAAGGGGACUAUGUGUAGUCAUAUCGAAACGGUUGGGAGGGUGGGACUGGGUCAGUGUGAUCAGAGCAAAGAAUCAUGGGAGGUAUAUGGUAGAUAGAGAAAGAAUGUCCUUUUGGGAGUUUUGAAGGAUUUGCUCUUGGUCUCUAAUCGGAGUCCAGUUAUACAUAGUUCUUCAUCUUUAAUACUUAAGGAAACAAAUGACCUGAGGUAUAGGAUGCUGGUCCUAUAUUGCGAACCUCCCUAUAGUGACUGAAUAUAGUUUAUCACAGAGAGGCUGUUGUUAGAGUUUUUUAUUUUUAGGUUUGUUAGUUUUUCUUUCUUUUUUUUUUUUUUAUUUGUGAAUGAUUCGAGAAGAUUCAUGAAAAUGUAUUUCACUGUAUAUAUCAUGCUUUUAAAAUGAAGGUCAAGAUUUAAAUGUUUGGGAUAUUAUUAUUAUUAUUAU